RNAcentral lists this ribosomal RNA (1259 nucleotides) under metagenome. RNAcentral's name for it is "bacterial SSU rRNA". It matches the Rfam family "Bacterial small subunit ribosomal RNA", at positions 125 to 1378 of the family's 1533-position model. The record is from RNAcentral.
CGUACCUUUCAUUGGGGGAUAACGUAGCGAAAGUUACGCUAAUACCGCAUAUUCUGUGAGCAGGAAAGCAGGGGAUCGCAAGACCUUGCGCUGAUGGAGCGGCCGAUGUCAGAUUAGCUAGUUGGUGGGGUAAAGGCUCACCAAGGCGACGAUCUGUAGCGGGUCUUAGAGGAUGAUCCGCCACACUGGAACUGAGACACGGUCCAGACUCCUACGGGAGGCAGCAGUGGGGAAUUUUGGACAAUGGGCGCAAGCCUGAUCCAGCCAUGCCGCGUGAGUGAAGAAGGCCUUCGGGUUGUAAAGCUCUUUCGGCCGGGAAAAAAUCGCUUGGGUUAAUACCCUGAGUGGAUGAUGGUACCGGAAUAAGAAGCACCGGCUAACUACGUGCCAGCAGCCGCGGUAAUACGUAGGGUGCGAGCGUUAAUCGGAAUUACUGGGCGUAAAGCGUGCGCAGGCGGUUUUGUAAGACAGGCGUGAAAUCCCCGGGCUCAACCUUGGAACUGCGUUUGUGACUGCAAGGCUAGAGUAUGGCAGAGGGGGGUGGAAUUCCACGUGUAGCAGUGAAAUGCGUAGAGAUGUGGAGGAACACCAAUGGCGAAGGCAGCCCCCUGGGCCAAUACUGACGCUCAUGCACGAAAGCGUGGGGAGCAAACAGGAUUAGAUACCCUGGUAGUCCACGCCCUAAACGAUGUCAACUAGGUGUUGGGUGGGUAAAACCAUUUGGUACCGUAGCUAACGCGUGAAGUUGACCGCCUGGGGAGUACGGCCGCAAGGUUAAAACUCAAAGGAAUUGACGGGGACCCGCACAAGCGGUGGAUGAUGUGGAUUAAUUCGAUGCAACGCGAAAAACCUUACCUACCCUUGACAUGCCAGGAACUUGCCAGAGAUGGCUUGGUGCCCGAAAGGGAGCCUGGACACAGGUGCUGCAUGGCUGUCGUCAGCUCGUGUCGUGAGAUGUUGGGUUAAGUCCCGCAACGAGCGCAACCCUUGUCGUUAAUUGCCAUCAUUUAGUUGGGCACUUUAACGAGACUGCCGGUGACAAACCGGAGGAAGGUGGGGAUGACGUCAAGUCCUCAUGGCCCUUAUGGGUAGGGCUUCACACGUCAUACAAUGGUCGGUACAAAGGGUUGCCAAGCCGCGAGGCGGAGCCAAUCCCAGAAAGCCGAUCGUAGUCCGGAUCGCAGGCUGCAACUCGCCUGCGUGAAGUCGGAAUCGCUAGUAAUCGUGGAUCAGCAUGUCACGGUGAAUACGUUCCCGGG